GCUAACUUCGUGCCAGCAGCCGCGGUAAUACGAAGGGGGCUAGCGUUGCUCGGAAUUACUGGGCGUAAAGGGCGCGUAGGCGGACAGUUUAGUCAGAGGUGAAAGCCCAGGGCUCAACCUUGGAAUAGCCUUUGAUACUGACUGUCUUGAGUACGGGAGAGGUGUGUGGAACUCCGAGUGUAGAGGUGAAAUUCGUAGAUAUUCGGAAGAACACCAGUGGCGAAGGCGACACACUGGCCCGUUACUGACGCUGAGGCGCGAAAGCGUGGGGAGCAAACAGGAUUAGAUACCCCUGUAGUC
This 300-nucleotide ribosomal RNA is filed under the name uncultured Phenylobacterium sp. RNAcentral describes it as "bacterial SSU rRNA". It matches the Rfam family "Bacterial small subunit ribosomal RNA", at positions 496 to 795 of the family's 1533-position model. The record is from RNAcentral. Lineage: Bacteria; Pseudomonadati; Pseudomonadota; Alphaproteobacteria; Caulobacterales; Caulobacteraceae.